CCUACGGGUGGCAGCAGUAGGGAAUCUUACACAAUGGGCGAAAGCCUGAUGGAGCAACGCCGCGUGGGUGAAGAAGGUCUUCGGAUCGUAAAACCCUGUUGGUAGAGAAGAAAGUGCGUGAGAGUAACUGUUCACGUUUCGACGGUAUCUAACCAGAACGCCACGGCUCACUACGUGCCAGCAGCCGCGGUAAUACGAAGGUGGCAAGCGUUAUCCGGGUUUAUUGGGCGUAAAGGGAACGCAGGCGGUAUUUGAAGUCUGAUGUGAAAGCCUUCGGCUUAACCGGAGUAGUGCAUUGGAAACUGGGUGAUUUGAGUGCAGCAGAGGAGAGUGGA
RNAcentral lists this ribosomal RNA (335 nucleotides) under uncultured bacterium. RNAcentral describes it as "partial 16S ribosomal RNA". It matches the Rfam family "Bacterial small subunit ribosomal RNA", at positions 338 to 665 of the family's 1533-position model. The record is from RNAcentral.